GGCGGACGGGUGAGUAACGCGUGGGAAUCUACCCAGUAGUGGGGGACAACUACCGGAAACGGUAGCUAAUACCGCAUACGCCCUAUGGGGGAAAGGCUUCGGCCGCUAUUGGAUGAGCCCGCGUCAGAUUAGCUAGUUGGUAGGGUAAAGGCCUACCAAGGCAACGAUCUGUAGCUGGUCUGAGAGGACGAACAGCCACACUGGGACUGAGACACGGCCCAGACUCCUACGGGAGGCAGCAGUGGGGAAUAUUGGACAAUGGGCGAAAGCCUGAUCCAGCAAUGCCGCGUGUGUGAAGAAGGCCUGCGGGUUGUAAAGCACUUUCAGUUGGGAAGAUGAUGACGUUACCAACAGAAGAAGCACCGGCUAAAUCCGUGCCAGCAGCCGCGGUAAUACAGAUGGUGCGAGCGUUAAUCGGAAUUACUGGGCGUAAAGCGCGC
This 440-nucleotide ribosomal RNA is filed under the name uncultured Gammaproteobacteria bacterium. RNAcentral's name for it is "bacterial SSU rRNA". It matches the Rfam family "Bacterial small subunit ribosomal RNA", at positions 97 to 570 of the family's 1533-position model. The record is from RNAcentral. Lineage: Bacteria; Pseudomonadati; Pseudomonadota; Gammaproteobacteria.